AAUCAGUGAUGACCUCAAGGAUUUCAUGUUCGUCAAUUAAAAAUCUAAGAUAUUGAAAUUCUAAUUUAAUAAUUUAUCUAUAAUAUAUAUGAGUGAAAUGAAAUAUGAUAAAAUCCUGGAAUAAUAUCUAUAAUUUAUCUAUAGUAUCUGCUCCACUAAAAUAAAAUGAUAAUAUCCUGCCAUCCUGGAAAUUGAGUGAUGCUAAUAUAAUAGAAUAAACUUUGCCUAAAACUACCAAAACUUCAAGACCCAUAAGUGAAAUCUAAGUCUUCGAUGGCUUCUACUCUAACACAAACCACACAAACCAUAAAUAGUUUCCACCUCUUCAUUCUAUAUAAGCAUACGAAUGAGUCAUACUGAUCAUCAUUCAUUAGUAAAUUAAGAUACAAUACUAAGAUGGCAUCUUCUAAAGUAUCUUCCAUGCUUCUCUUUCUCCUCCUUCUCGUUCUUGUGUUUCCCCAUAUGGAUAAAGCCCUUGGUGAAAAAAGACAGCUCCACGAACUUAAAGGCACAGAGCAUCCCGAUCAACUGAUGACGGUUGGAAGGAGCCUUCUCUUUCGCAUCCCUCCAUGCCCACCGUCCUUAUGUAAGCCUCGUCCGAUAAGAAUUCCUCCCCGACUUCGUACACCUCCACCCCCUCCACGGCAUUGAAGGUUUCCAAAAGGCAAAAACACAUGGAUCCCAAAAUAUUUGGAUGAAAAUAUAUUUUCGUAAUUCCUCACUAUAAAUGUAAUUCUGAAAUUUUCUUUCAAAAUAAAAAGAUCAUGCCACUCGGGAUGAUGGUAUGAUGAUAUGUUGUUGUAAGUUUUAAGCUAUUGUAUGAUGGUAUAUUUGUUGAUAUUAUUCAACGUAAAUAAAUAUAGUUUAUGGA
This is a long non-coding RNA of Brassica napus (rape), 871 nucleotides long. RefSeq lists it as uncharacterized. NCBI's taxonomy places the organism in Eukaryota, Viridiplantae, Streptophyta, Magnoliopsida, Brassicales, Brassicaceae. The transcript has 2 exons. The record is from RefSeq and is a predicted model, not a curated record.